RNAcentral lists this ribosomal RNA (455 nucleotides) under uncultured Alphaproteobacteria bacterium. Its description in RNAcentral is "bacterial SSU rRNA". It matches the Rfam family "Bacterial small subunit ribosomal RNA", at positions 9 to 510 of the family's 1533-position model. Lineage: Bacteria; Pseudomonadati; Pseudomonadota; Alphaproteobacteria. The record is from RNAcentral.
GAGUUUGAUCAUGGCUCAGAACGAACGCUGGCGGCAGGCCUAACACAUGCAAGUCGAGCGCGCCCUUCGGGGUGAGCGGCGGACGGGUUAGUAACGCGUGGGAAUAUGCCCAAAGGUACGGAAUAGCCUCUGGAAACGGAGAGUAAUACCGUAUGUGCCCUUCGGGGGAAAGAUUUAUCGCCUUUGGAUUAGCCCGCGUUAGAUUAGGUAGUUGGUGGGGUAAUGGCCUACCAAGCCUACGAUCUAUAGCUGGUUUUAGAGGAUGAUCAGCAACACUGGGACUGAGACACGGCCCAGACUCCUACGGGAGGCAGCAGUGGGGAAUCUUGGACAAUGGGGGCAACCCUGAUCCAGCCAUGCCGCGUGAGUGAUGAAGGCCUUANGGUCGUAAAGCUCUUUCGCCUGUGAAGAUAAUGACGGUAGCANGUAAAGAAACCCCGGCUAACUCCGUGCCA